UGACAGCCGUGGAUUCCAUAUAGUUUUAUUUGUGUAUUGGUUGAGCCCACAAUCUAAACCUAUGGCUUCUUCGCGGUGCUGGGUACGAGCGUGCCUGCCUUAUAUGUUCGGAAUUCCUAUAGUUCACCGUUAUGGAUUCUCCCCACAAAAUGUAUCGUUUUCUAAUUAAUUAUGCAAGUUAUGUUCCACUCAGAGUAAUUGCUACUUCGUCGUACUCAUCUCUAAUCAACCCACACGAGGGCCCAGAAAUUCUUAAGUUCUGUUCAGUUGUUAUUGACUUAAAUCAUGUGGAAAAUGUGUUCAAACAUGACAGAAGAAGAAGAGGAAUACACCCUCAAAGACAAUAAAUUUCCUGUCGGAGAUAUAAUUACACUCCACCAUGCUCCACUACACACCCAGCUCCGAUGGACAUUACAACCUCAACCUCCAAAACCGGACACCUCGGGCACGUUAAAGAACCUACAACAUGUACACUUUCCCGACGUGAAUGAAUCUGUUAUUCUGUCCGGAUAUGCAGCUUGCACUCUUCAGUUCAAACCUGGGGUGUAACGCCGCCAUUAGGCGGUUUGCUGGGUAGAGAAACAUAAACAAACAACAAGUUUGCCCGGAAUGCCAUUUAUCGGCCAGCAAGAUCGGUGCAGACAAAACAUGUACCGUUAUCCCCCACCUGUCAGAAGGACGCAGUAAAUUCGCAGAUCGAAAAGGUUAAUAUAGAGCUACAUGGCUUUGAGGUCAAAGCAACAACAUAAUAAGGGUAUUGGGAGGGGGUCAGGAAAAACACGGCAAUCCGGGAUAAUGCAAUGGAUACAACAUCUUGCCAUUCAAGAUAGUACCGAGUCACCUCAUGAGCGCAGUCUGUGUCCUCUGUCGUAGAGGAGUAGUCUACCCAAACCCGACAGGGUUCCCGUACAUGGACCACAAGUGGGGCCACACUUGGAGGAGGACCGCGUGGAGAAUUAGAAGGACACAAUUAUGUUUUUUGCAGAAAUUGGCAUUUGUGCAUGAAAAAUUAGUAAACGGCAACUCCUCUGGUAUGUUACCUGUCUGUCCAUUUUCUACCAUCAGUGACGUGUGGAGCCUGCCUCGUAGACUUGUGAACCCAUGCCAACCUUAUAUGUGCUCCUAAAGUUUCUUUUUGUUUUCAAGACUAUGAUAGAAUUGACAAGACAUGUACCUCAGCAAACAAGUCUUUUAUUUCUGUAUUCAAGAGGUGCACAAAAAAGUAUCACUAGUGUGCUAGACUGUUAUCACUUUAUCACCAAUGGGACAACUACAGUUAUCGCUAUCACAUCAUAUAUAACGUUACAUGUACUUUCGAACUAGUUUCACUUCUAGAACUACUGUCAUUGGCUACAUGCACCUCACUAGUGUGACCUCUGCAAAGCUAUCACACGAUGUAUCUUCUCAUUUUGGUACAUGUUCAACAUCUUUGGGGGGGGGGGGGGUCCUUUAGUUUUCUUCCAAAUCAAGCAAACAUUUAUGAGCCCACUGAUAUCAUCCAUAGACCUCGUGUGCCCUUAUCUUCCUUGAGGGACCGGCAUCACUCCCAGCACAGUAGAGGUAUACAAAGUACCGGGGUAUAGUUUGUAGUUCCAGCUUUAAUACCAGGCUAAACAAUAGUAGGUGAAGUGAAUUUGUAACUCAAACUUUUUUAUGAUAAGUCAUCAUCGGUGGUAAACAUGAUGGAGUUACAGUAUCAGAACGUAGUUAUUGUUUUGAAGUUAAAGAUCCAUCAGGUAGGUUUCUUGGUUGUGUCAAAAAUAAACAGUGCCCUGCACAUGGUCGUUUUUUUGUCCUGUUUUGACUUGUCCUGUCCGCCCAGCAACAAUAAAUCCAUACCUGGAGCCAAAUCUGGCACGUGCGAAAACAUCAUUUCUACCAUCGCCUGUUUCAAGCUCGCCUGUUUGUUGAUAUGGAGCAGACCCGAAAACACAUUUCUACCAUCGCCUGUAGUUGCAAGCUCGCCUGUUUGUUGAUCUGGAACAGACCCGAAAACACAUUUCUACCAUCGUCUGUUUUGUACGCCCGGCUGUUUGUUGAUCAGGGACAGACCUCGGGCGUGUGACCUAGAAACCUUUCAAAGGUCAGUGACUCAAUGCUUUCCCCAGGGACCUUAUGGCCAGUUCUUGGAUAAGGCGGAACUGGUUCAAACUGGUUUGAUCCCCCCAGACCUAUGGCUUCUCCAAUCAGGGAGAAGUCUUAAAACAUUUGACCAAUAGGACAAAAUUGGCCACCCUCCUGUCAAUCUUCCGAAACUGGGAGGGUCCGGGUAUAUACUCCGGUCCUUGUCUGUUGACGAGACAGAAAGAGCGGGGCGUUCUAUGUGUUAACAUCGGGCCUGAGGUCAUCUCAGCUGUAACUUUUCUGGAAGCUACGACUGUAGGUUGGAGUCUGUUCCCGCUGCAGAUACAAGGACAUGCAUCACUUCUGACAAGGUAGCAUGGCCACUCGCAGACUUCAGAAGGAAUCACUGCUCAGAGCAUAAAGGUCAACAACUCUGGUAGCAAUCAGAAUUCACUGGACCCCGGUCACGGAAAAGCUGGGGUGUGUGCUGAUAUCACCCAG
Molecule: long non-coding RNA, 2565 nt
Organism: Branchiostoma floridae (Florida lancelet)
Lineage: Eukaryota; Metazoa; Chordata; Leptocardii; Amphioxiformes; Branchiostomatidae
Exons: 3
Source: RefSeq, a predicted model, not a curated record